GACGAACGCUGGCGGCGUGCUUAACACAUGCAAGUCGAACGGACAGGCCCUGCUUUUGUGGCGUGCUCGUGUGGCGAACGGGUGAGUAACACGUGAGUAACCUGCCCUUGACUUUGGGAUAACUUCAGGAAACUGGGGCUCAUACCGGAUAGGAGCUCCUGCUGCAUGGUGGGGGUUGGAAAGUUUCGGCGGUUGGGGCUGGACUCGCGGCUUAUCAGCUUGUUGGUGGGGUAGUGGCUUACCAAGGCUUUGACGGGUAGCCGGCAUGAGAGGGGGACCGGCCACCUUGGGCCUGAGGGAGGGACCAGACUGCUACGGGAGGCAGCAGUGGGGAAUAUUGCACAAUGGGCGGAAGCCUGAUGCAGCAACGCCGCGUGCGGGAUGACGGCCUUCGGGGGGUAAACCGCUGUCGCCUGUGACGAAGCGUGAGUGACGGUAAUGGGUAAAGAAGCACCGGCUAACUACGUG
This 468-nucleotide ribosomal RNA is filed under the name uncultured bacterium. Its description in RNAcentral is "partial 16S ribosomal RNA". It matches the Rfam family "Bacterial small subunit ribosomal RNA", at positions 28 to 507 of the family's 1533-position model. The record is from RNAcentral.